RNAcentral lists this ribosomal RNA (253 nucleotides) under uncultured bacterium. Its description in RNAcentral is "partial 16S ribosomal RNA". It matches the Rfam family "Bacterial small subunit ribosomal RNA", at positions 524 to 776 of the family's 1533-position model. The record is from RNAcentral.
GACGUAGGGCGCGAGCGUUGUCCGGAUUUAUUGGGCGUAAAGAGCUCGUAGGCGGCUUGUCGCGUCGGCUGUGAAAACCCGCGGCUCAACUGUGGGCGGGCAGCUGAUACGGGCAGGCUGGAGUGUGGCAGAGGAGACUGGAAUUCCCGGUGUAGCAGUGAAAUGCGUAGAUAUCGGGAGGAAUACCGAUGGCGAAGGCAGGUCUCUGGGCUGACACUGACGCUCAUGCACGAAAGCGUGGGGAGCAAACAGG